AUGCUUACUUCAGCAGCACAUUUACUAAAAUUGGAAUAAUAGAGAUUAGCAUGGCCCCUGCACAAGGAUAAUAUGCAAAUUUGUAGUGUUCUAUAUACAAAU
Small nuclear RNA from Suncus etruscus (white-toothed pygmy shrew), 102 nucleotides. The record is from RefSeq and is a predicted model, not a curated record. Lineage: Eukaryota; Metazoa; Chordata; Mammalia; Eulipotyphla; Soricidae.